AAAUAUAAAUAUUUUGGAAAAUAAAUUUAUUUUAACAAAUCACACAAGUUCGGAGUUAAAAUUUACAAAUAAUGCACUCCAGAAGGAUAUAAAUAUAAUUCAAUAAUUUAUUCCGGAAAAGGUGAAAAUGGCCCUGAAAAAAAUCAUAGUAAAGCCACCGUACUGAAACUAAUUCAAGGACUGGAAAACAAAUGCCGUGUAGUAAUUGCUGAUAAUUUUUAUUCUUCAAUAGAAUUGGCUGAACAACUUCUAUCUCUCAAAACCCGUUAUUGCGGUACCCUAAGAUCAAAUCGAAGAGGGCUACCUAAGAAUAUAGUGUCACUUAAAUUGAAAAAGGGUGAAAUCAGAGGAUCUAUGAACAAAAAUGGCGUUAAAGUUAUGAAAUGGGUUGACAAAAGGCAACUUCUGAUGCUAUCUACUCUCAAAGAGGACAAAGAUGAGCUUGUCAAUACAGGCAGAAAAAAUAGGAAGACAUACGAAGAUAUAAAAAAGCCUACAUGUGUCUUAACAUAUAAUAACAAAAUAAAAGAUGUUGACUUCAGCGACCAAAUGUCUGCAUAUUAUUUAUUCUAUAUUAAAAAGAGGGCUCAAAUGGUUCAGAAAAGUGGGUAUGGAAUAUUUGUUUGGCAUGGCGUUGGUAAACGCUUGGAUUAUAUACAACAUGAAAAAUGAGAAGAAGGUUUCAAAGAAAGAAUUUACAGAAGCAUUAAUACAAUUAAUUACUGGAAAAAAUAUAUGCCCUGAUAGUAAGUAUAACGACGUGCAACAUAACUGUAACCAUCUUUAGACCUAUGUUGAAGGUGAUUCCUUCUGUUUCGUGUUGACGACGUUCUACCUCUGCAACAGGAAAUCAAGUAACACCUACGGCCGAUCAUAUCCUUGAGAUGAGCGGUAAAUGGCGAAAUUGUGUAGGGUGCUAUGAAAAACUGCGGGAAACCAUGAAGAGUUCCGAGGUGAAAAAGAAAGUAAAAAAAAUUAAAACAUACUGAUGUGCAAGCAAAAUCUUUGUGCGAAAUGUUUUAAAGACAGCCAUUAAUAAAUAAUUAAAUAAACAAUUUUUAUUUCUUUA
Molecule: long non-coding RNA, 1069 nt
Organism: Bombyx mori (domestic silkworm)
Lineage: Eukaryota; Metazoa; Arthropoda; Insecta; Lepidoptera; Bombycidae
Exons: 2
Source: RefSeq, a predicted model, not a curated record